Molecule: ribosomal RNA, 498 nt
Filed under: uncultured bacterium
Lineage: Bacteria
Description: partial 16S ribosomal RNA
Rfam family: Bacterial small subunit ribosomal RNA
Source: RNAcentral
AUUGAACGCUGGCGGAAUGCUUUACACAUGCAAGUCGAGCGGCAGCGCGGGGCAACCUGGCGGCGAGCGGCGAACGGGUGAGUAAUGUAUCGGAACGUGUCCUGUCGUGGGGGAUAGCCCGGUGAAAACCGGAUUAAUACCGCAUACGAUCGAGAGUUGAAAGUGGGGGACCGCAAGGCCUCACGCGAUAGGAGCGGCCGAUAUCUGAUUAGCUAGUUGGUGGGGUAAAGGCCCACCAAGGCUUCGAUCAGUAGCUGGUCUGAGAGGAUGAUCAGCCACACUGGGACUGAGACACGGCCCAGACUCCUACGGGAGGCAGCAGUGGGGAAUUUUGGACAAUGGGGGCAACCCUGAUCCAGCCAUUCCGCGUGAGUGAAGAAGGUCUUCGGGCUGUAAAGCUCUUUUGUCCGGGAAGAAACGGUUUUGGCUAAUAACCAAGACUACUGACGGUACCGGAAGAAUAAGGACCGGCUAACUACGUGCCAGCCGCCGCAGUAA